Puma concolor (puma) is the source of this 745-nucleotide non-coding RNA. The record is from RefSeq and is a predicted model, not a curated record. NCBI's taxonomy places the organism in Eukaryota, Metazoa, Chordata, Mammalia, Carnivora, Felidae.
CAGUAAGAGGGCGGAGUCCCCCGUUGAGGCGAACGCCGUUCCUACCCAUGAGCACAAAAGGGUGUUUUUCAGACAGAGGCCUGGUGGAGGCUGAGAUAACAGUGAUUCAGGACAGCUCACGAGGGGCUGUUGCGGAUAAAAAAAACCCUUGGCAGAGUGAGUGGACUAGAGCCGCACCGUGUGGCAUCGGAGACCGCGUGCCAAGUGCAGGGUGCAUUUGCAAAGUCGUUUCUUUCAUUAAUUCCAUUUUACAGAUGAGGAAAUUGAGGGCAGGUAAUUUGCCCAAGGUACCAAGCAAGUACACGCUGGACCACUAUUUUGAACCAGGGCCGUCCAGGUCCCCGUGUCACCAAGAUUCAGAGGAAAACUGGCCCACUUUGAGCCGCCAGACACAGAAACUUCCCUGAAGAUAUGGCUCUUGCUCUAUGGAAAAUAUGUCAGGCUGACUCAGUUUCUCUAGCACAAGUGAAAACGAGCUGGUAAGAACAGACCGGUUUGAAGCAAGUGCACAAUUCUUCGCCUUCAGGUGAGCUAGCAGCUGAAUUUCCCCGCCAGCUGGGCCUUAAAGGGCAAACAAGGCUCAGGGCAGAAGGCAUCAUGAAGCGAUCUUGGACAACGUGCGUUCUUCAUUACAUCUGCAAAAUGCCACUAGCACCUUUGACCAAACAUUAAUACCGCACGGCUUUGACAUCUUGUGAUAUAGCUGGAGUUUGAGGAAUGGGGCUAAGGGUUGAUUGGGGUCCCC